Molecule: unclassified non-coding RNA, 262 nt
Filed under: Hevea brasiliensis (rubber tree)
Lineage: Eukaryota; Viridiplantae; Streptophyta; Magnoliopsida; Malpighiales; Euphorbiaceae
Source: RNAcentral
GUUGUCUCCCAAUAUUUCCAUAAGAUUUCAGACAUCAUACUGAGAAUUAGUUCCUGAAGCUUGAUUUGAUAUAUGGCAGAAGCUGUGGUUUCAUUUGUUGUACAAAAGCUUGGCGAUCUGCUCAUUGAAGAAGUAGCAUCCUUCUACGAUGUGCAGGGCCAAGUUGAGUCAAUUGAGAGGGAGUUGACUCGAAUGCAAUGCUUUUUAAAGGAUGCAGAUGUCAAGCAAAAGGGAGAUGAGAGGAUCAAGAACUGGGUUGGGG